GAUGAACGCUGGCGGCGUGCCUAAUACAUGCAAGUCGAGCGAACGGACGAGAAGCUUGCUUCUCUGAUUUUAGCGGCGGACGGGUGAGUAACACGUGGAUAACCUACCUAUAAGACUGGGAUAACUUCGGGAAACCGGAGCUAAUACCGGAUGAUAUUUUGAACCGCAUGGUUCAAAAGUGAAAGACGGUCUUGCUGUCACUUAUAGAUGGAUCCGCGCUGCAUUAGCUAGUUGGUAAGGUAACGGCUUACCAAGGCAACGAUGCAUAGCCGACCUGAGAGGGUGGUCCGACAGCCUGGAACUGAGAAACGGUCGAGACUCCUACGGUGAGCAACGGCAGGGACUCUUCCGCGAUGGGGGAAAGCCUGACGGAGCAACGCCGCGGGAGUGAUGAAGGUCCUCGGAUCGUAAAACUAUGUAAUUAGGAAAGAACAUAUGUGUAAGUACCUGUGAACAUAUUGACGGUACCUAAUCAGAAAGCCCCGGCUAACUCCGUG
This 497-nucleotide ribosomal RNA is filed under the name uncultured bacterium. Its description in RNAcentral is "partial 16S ribosomal RNA". It matches the Rfam family "Bacterial small subunit ribosomal RNA", at positions 28 to 507 of the family's 1533-position model. The record is from RNAcentral.